AUAUAUCAAACGUUGGCUGCAUUAGGGAAACAUGCAAACAAUAGUAAAGUACACAAGCUGGCCGAUGUCGUCUAUUUGGCAGUCAGUGCCGGUCUGGUUAAAAUUAAAAACGGGACGAACCAAGGCAGUACUUUAGGGAUGGCAAAUAUGGCCAGAGCCUGCAUGUUUGGCAAAGUUGCCAUAGGAUUCGACCGUCCUGCCACAUUCUCCGGUGUGCAGACAACGGCUCACGAAAUCGCUCAUCUGCUGAAUGCCGAUCACGAUGGAUACAGAACAGCGAAGGAUUGCUCAGGCAAGAAUGGUUAUAUAAUGAGCAGCCCCCGAAAACAUGGGAAGAACAGUUGUGCGUUUUCGAGCUGCAGUAAGAAGGACAUCGCCUCCUUUUUAACGUGGCCAUACUCAAGAUGCUUAUUUGAAAAGAAUGCAUGCCACGUCAGUUUACUCCCAAACAAGGCGGCGAAUCUCCCAGGGGACGUAAUGAAUGGACCAACGUACUGUAAGGAGUACUACAGGAGCCCGAGUACUCAAAGUCUACUUACAUAAAGCUUCAUUCGGACAUCAAGAAGUGCGUGUUCCGCUGUUUGGUGGAAGAAAAGAAAAAGCCUGGGCAGCUGCAGAACCGCACAUCAUUUGCAUUAGAUGGCACACCCUGCUCUGAGGCUCAGCAUCCAAAGAUAUGCCGCAACAUGGUCUGCGUCAAACCCUAAUCAAAUAAUUUGACAUUGCUGGAAGCGCAAACCUACAACUGGCAAUAAUACAAGUACACUGGACGGGCAUAUAAGAUGGCUUACACCUGCCACUUCCUUACGGCGAUGUCAA
Molecule: long non-coding RNA, 819 nt
Organism: Rhipicephalus microplus (southern cattle tick)
Lineage: Eukaryota; Metazoa; Arthropoda; Arachnida; Ixodida; Ixodidae
Source: RefSeq, a predicted model, not a curated record